ACGCCCAGUUCCGAUCUCACUGAUCCGGGUUCUGACUUCUUUGGUCCAGGCUGGACCUGGGUGUGGGCUUAUUAAAACCCCCUCCCGGGGCGCCUGGGUGGCGCAGUCGGUUAAGCGUCCGACUUCAGCCAGGUCACGAUCUCGCGGUCGGUGAGUUCGAGCCCCGCGUCGGGCUCUGGGCUGAUGGCUCAGAGCCUGGAGCCUGUUUCCAAUUCUGUGUCUUCCUCUCUCUCUGCCCCUCCCCUGUUCAUGCUCUGUCUCUCUCUGUCCCAAAAAUAAAUAAAUGUUGAAAAAAAAAAUUAAAAAAAAAAAAAAAAACCCUCCCGCAGGGGAUGCUAACACCCAGGUGGAGAGAGUCUAGGUCAGACCGGCAGGGGCUGUGGGUCGCGCAUUUUUGUCCCUGUCCUAACAGGGCCAGGGCUAGGUUUUGGGCCUAGGAGGCGGGAUAUGGAGGGGUUUCACAAUCAGAUUUGCUUUUUUUUUUUUUUUUAAUGUUUAUUUAUUUUUGAAAGAGAGUGAGGGGGGGAGGGACAGGGAGAGGGAGAGAAGGCACAAGCAGGGGAGGGGCAGAGAGAAAGGGAGACACAGAAUCCGAAGCAGGCUCCAGGCUCCGAGCGGUCAGCACAGAGCCCGACGCAGGGCUCGAACCCACGAACCGUGAGAUCGUGACCUGAGCCGAGGUCAGAUGCUUCACCGACUGAGCCCCCCAGGCGCCCCAAGACCAGAUCUGCUUUUGACGGAGAAACGAAAAACAAGUGGUCGCGUCGCAUGGAUGAGAAGCAAGAGAGAGGGAGAGAGGCCUUGGCAGGCGCCCAGCGGGCCCCUCGCUCGGCGCAGAGGACCUGAAAGGCCAUGCCAGCCCCAAGGCUUUCCCAGAGGAAACCUCGCCCCCGGAUCCGCAGGAAGUCACAGUCAGGGGCUGGUGAGUCCCAGACGGACGGCCCACAAAGCUUGGGAUCCGAUCCAGAUCUCUGGAGCUCGGAUACACCAGAAAGACCUCCGCCGCUCGGAACAUCAAGUUCUGAGGCUUGGCAGAGACCCGGGCGGCUUUGCCGGCCCCGCGAUCCCGGCUGGGCCCCGGGCCCCGGCUGGCCUCCCCCGCCCCGGCGCCCGCUGGGCCGUCCGGCCUGGCUGUCGAGCCGGGCUCCUGCCUCGAUUCUGAUCAAAGGAAAGCGGCUGGUUUCCCGGGCAGAUUUGUUCCGUGUUUACUUCUCUUCCCAGAGCCUUUCUCCUGCCACAUUAAGACCUGUAGUUCACGUGUCCCUGGGCCGUCACCCCUCCUCUCCUCAGGACUCCGGAGGGUCCUUUUUAUAAGUUAAUCUUUGCAAGAAAUUACCUGACGGGUCCCAGCUCGGCCCUGGGUCCCUGGGAUCCGAAUGCUGCCGCGGGGGGUGACUUCUCAGCUCAAGAGCCUUUAUCGAGCGCCUGUUGUGUGCCAGCCCCGCGCUGUGUCCUGGGGGCUAGGAGAUGCACCUGACUUUUGUCCUGCCUCUCUUAUCUGUAGACGAGGCCCCCUUCCUCGCAGGGUCGUCGUGACGGUUGCAUUUGUUCUGUGAACCGACGCAGGCCAGGCCCUGUGCAGGCAAAUAAGAGAGGCGCGGAUGCCUGACCUUUUGGAGCUGGCGUCCGCCUCGGGGGUCUCUGAGCCCCUCCUGCCACUGUAGCCAAGACAACAAAGUCAGUGUCACAGGUGAAAGAACUGGGCCGGUGGCACAGGCCUUCCCAGCAGCAGGCAGACACGGGCCGAGCCGGUUCACCACCCGGGCGCGUCCCUAAGUCUGGGGCUGGGGGCCCUUCUGUUGCAGGGUCACAGGGGCCUGGGGUCGAGCCCCAGCUCUGCCGCUGGCCGCCGGACCACGGGCGGUCUUGCGCCUGUGUUUCCUCCCCUGCGAAACGGGCGUCACCAGAGGGGCUGCUGUGCGCAGCAGGCGACAGAACGUUCGUGAAGCGCUGAGCCCGGCGCUUUUCCGCGCCCGGCCCGCGUGUGUUCGGGCAUACUCACGACGCGUGCAAACCUUCUCCGACCCCUCCCCAAGGACCCCACGACGCAGCUGUCCGCUCGGCCACACGCGAGGCGAGGACGCCGAGGUUUCCGCAGCCGGGCUCGGCCGGUGCCCACUCAGCACCAUGUUCCAAAGACGCUUCCGUGGGCAGAGCCUGUC
RNAcentral lists this long non-coding RNA (2162 nucleotides) under Felis catus (domestic cat). RNAcentral describes it as "lncRNA (ENSFCAG00000047541.1)". The record is from RNAcentral. Lineage: Eukaryota; Metazoa; Chordata; Mammalia; Carnivora; Felidae.